This 7784-nucleotide long non-coding RNA is filed under the name Nicotiana tabacum (common tobacco). Its description in RNAcentral is "long non-coding RNA (NTAB_LNC015118)". Lineage: Eukaryota; Viridiplantae; Streptophyta; Magnoliopsida; Solanales; Solanaceae. The record is from RNAcentral.
CCUCCUCUCUCUCUCUCUCUCUCUCUCUCUCCAUUUACGUUUCUCCAGCCCUUUUCUGCGCAAGAUUAAGUCAACACUAGAAGCCAAACAACUUUUAGAUUUUGAUUCUCUAUGGCAUAGAUUUAAUUUUUAAACGACUAUUUUGAAGACCAAAAUCUCAACCCGUGACCCCGUUGAUUUUGGAUUCAAAUUUCAAAUCAAAACUCAAGUUCCAUCUAUAAAUAUUCCCCAAAGUUUUCAGACAAAAGAGGGCUGGAACAGUGUGAAGACCAAGAUUUUGGAACACAAUAAAACAAUCUCUCUCAACUCAACUCAAUCUUUCAAUAUUGAUCUUUCUUUUAGUACUUACAAUCUAAUACUCAAAAGUUCUUUAAUUUUGUUGCUCAACUCUUGUCUUGUGGAGUAGAUCUAAAAACCUCGAAAGUUCCAGUUCACUGCCCCGUGGAAGGUAAAUCUGAUUCCAUUGUUGUUUUCGCUCUUUUCUUUGAUCAUAAAUACUAUGUUCCGAAUUAUAGAAAUUGUGUUUUAAGCUUGCCCUUUUAUGCCAUACAAAUCUGUCCAUUAAGUCUGGCGAUAGAAUGUUAAAGUUAGAAAUCAUGCUUUCAGAAAUGUAUCACUAUUUUGCUUGAGGGUAUGUUCUUUGAAUCUUAAUACGUCUUUUAUGUUCAGUAGUUUUGGUCUUAAAUGUUAGACUCUUUUACACGUAGAGGUCAUAUUUAGGCUCAUAUUUAUUAAGUAUCAUGUUGUGAAUCUUUACUAGUAGAAACCAUGUCGUGGACACCUUAUUAUUUGACUAACAUGUUUAAGGAUAAUUUGAGUUACAAAAUAUUCAUUUUGACAACUUUUUGUAUCUUGAUUCAAUUAAUUUUUUCCUUUACUAAAACUCGCAUUAAUAUUUCAUUCUCCUAUAAAUGACAUAUUCAUAAGCCUUGACUCAACUGACAUGUAAAAAUGAAGUAUAAAAACCAUGUAUGUAGGUUUAUUAUUACACACAUAAGGUAUGACUUUAUUUGUGUUAUUUUUUAGAAAAGGCAUGACUAUAUGAAAAUAGUUCAUUCCUUCAUUAAAAGUGUUGUAACUUUUGGUUCAGGAAUUCAUGUCUUAAAAUAGAAUUUUUUGUAUAUUUUUACUUAAAGGAUUAUCUAAAUUAGGAACUUUGAGGUGGAUACUAUAAGGCAUUUGUGAUACCUUGAAACCACAUAUUCAUUUUCUGUGACUUCAACUAGGGGGCUAAUAGAUUAUUUACUAUUAUAAUAUUUAUAUUUAUAACUUGAUUGAUCCUCUUUGUAUUAAAUAGAGAUGAUUUGAUAAAAAUUACUUCCAUUCCUUCCUAAUUUUCAUUAUGAAGGCUCGGGUUUCUUCUUCUAAUUCUUAUUUUCUUUCUCUUCUUUCUUUGUUCGCAUGUACACUUGGGACGAGUGUUCGAAUUCUAAUGCAAGAGUCUUUCAAUUCUCAUGGAGUUAGCUAUCACAUUUGUCUAUUCCAUGUGGUCUCGGAUAGCAUUCAAGGAAACAAUUGAUGAAUAGCAAAAGCAUGGUCCUUUGUGGGGAUUUUGGGACAGGCGUUUAAGCCUAUUUUUUUUUAUAUCUAAUGCCUUUUCUUUGUCCCUUGAUUAUAUGACUAAAUGAUUAUCUUGAUUAUUUAAAUUACUUGUUUAUGUGCUAAGAUUAUCUGGGUUUGAAAUACAGCUAAUAACUAGCAUGAUCACUUAAGGUUAUUCAUUUAGUUUAAUAACCAAACUUUAUUAAAAUAUGUCGGAUAAUAGUUUUGGCUUUACGGACAUAAAGACACGUGAUUUUCACUCCUGGUUUUUAACAAAUGUAUUUCUUUUAAACAAGAUAAUAGUCAUUAGAAUAUUUUUAAGUUCAUGUUUGAUUACGUUAAGAUGAUUUUAACUCACAAUUUUUUAUGCAUAGAUAUUUUCAAAGUCAAGCUCUUUUGAAUUCAACCCUUUUUUUAAUCAUUUAUACACUCUACACUUAGCCUUAAUUAUCUUAAGUCCGGUCGGUUAACCAUUUUAAUAUGGAUUUUAAAGAGUGCCUUACACCUUCUCUUUAAGAUUAACUGAAUCCUUACCUUAGAAUUUCUGAAGUUUAGUAAACUUAUAGAGUUAAUAAUUGAUAGAUUAACUGAAUCCUUACCUUAGAAUUUCUGAAGUUUAGUAGACCUUAUAGAGUUAAUAAUUGAUAAUUUUGGUGCCCUAAUUCACCUUUGAAAUAAUUAGAUGGCGGCUCUUUAGUUAAUAAUUAAAUCAGGAAUCACCAAUAUGUUAUAGCCUAAUUUGACCUGUGUUAAAAUGGGGUGUAUUGUAAAUAUUUUUUGUAAACAUCUCUUAUAAAUAUAAAGAACCUCUUUGCUUCAUCUUUGAUUUGUGUUGAAUUCCAUUUUGUCUUCAUUUGUGAAAAUUUUGAUCGUAUAACUCUAAUGAUCAGUCCGAAUAUUGGACUUAAAACAUAAUAAAGCCUUAGGUUUUUUAUUGAUCAAAACAAUACCUCUUAAGGUUUGUUGUUAAUCCUCGAGUUGACCUUAAAUUGAUUUGAUGCGAGCUCGGGAUGUCGGGACUUUUGAGUCCGAGUUGAGUGAGAGCAAGGUCUCGAACCUUAUAUAUUUUGGCCCUUAGGCUCUUUUAUGUCGGCCCUUAGGCUCUUUUAGGUCGUCUCUUAGUCUCUUUAAGUUGGGCCAAUUCGGCUACAAAUUUUCCCUCUAUUCGGCUAAAAGACUUAGUGAUAUUUUUCUAUGCCUUAGCAUGUAUUUUUUUUUUUUGUACCUGUUGGUUUUUCAAAGGUUCUACAGAUCGAAACCCCAUUUGUAAUUCAUUUGUGUAACAACAAUCGAAUACCUCUUGAGGUUUUUUCGAAGGAUGAUGUUUAUUGAAGCCUUUAAAUUAUUCGAGGGCUGAUUUUAUUGAAGCCCCUUUAUUAUUUGCUUUUGCCGAGGGUAGCCUGAUUUAACCAAUUUUUCAAAGUGUUUGAAGGCCUGUAAUUUAUGGCGGAAGUCGGACGUCUCCGAGCCACAUUAUUGCGGCUGUAGGGUUUAUAUGAUCGUAGCCUUUAAUGUGGUCGUAGAUUUUGGGUAUGUCUCUUGGACUUGUUUCCUGAUAACCUUUCGAACUUGUUCGAAGUGUUAGUCCCCGAGUAUGAUGGACUUGGACUUUAUAUCGAGGGGGUGCCUCUUUGAGGUCUUAUGAGUUUGAGUUUUUUAUGACUCAGAUGUGUUGAUUGUCGAUGUCAGUCCCCGAGUAUUUGGGGUGCAUUGGACUUUAGGCCAUUUCUCAUAGAAUUAUAAGUGCAGAGCUCGUAUAAUAGUAGACUUAUUUUGAGACACAAAGUGUUUUGAUAUAGAAACAAUGCUUCUUUGAAUAAUGCGUACAUGUUUUGCCGUCGGGGCUCGACUAUACUAUAUGGACACAGUUUAUCUGACCGUUUGACCCAUUACAAAGUUCUCUUAUCGAGACCCUCUUUGGCGUGAAGUAUUUUCCUCGAAAAUAUAUCCUCCAAGGGUAAUGCCCCUAUUAUUCGAGGUUGAUUAAAAGAAUCCUUGGAUACUGUUGAGUUCUCCUUAAGUAGCACAUAGUUGUUGCCUCGUUAAAAUCUCACCGGUAAAAUCCAUUUGGGACAAAAUACGAUCUAAGGGAAAAAGAGUGUAACACAUGCUUUAAAACCUAAGGUCUUCGUGUAAAAAAGUGCCUCUGAUAGCUUCGAUCGAACACAUGCAGUGGGUUAGUUUCAAAUUUAGAUGGACAAAAGAGAAAAGCAUACAUUAGCAAUGGUAUUGUUUGAGUAAUAAUACGUUCCAAUUGUUUGGCAGUUGUUCACCUUCCAUUGUGCUAAGUUUGUAAGAUCCUUUACCGACAACUCCGAGGACUCGGUACGGUUCUUCCCAAUUUGAUACUAGUUUCCCUUUAUUUGGGUCUCGAGUAUUGAGGGUGACUUUUCGUAGAACUAAGUCCCCGAAUCCAAAGUGUCGAAGGUUGGUCCUUCUAUUGUAGUAUCUCUCGAUUCUUUGCUUUUGCGCGGCCAUCCGAACAAGUGAUGCCUCUCGUUUUUCAUCUAAUAGCUCGAGGCUAGUAUUCAUAGCUUCGUGAUUUGACUCCUCCGAUGCAUGUCGAAACCUGGUACUGGGUUCUCCGACCUCGACAGGGAUAAGGGACUCAGAUCCAUAAACUAAAGAGAACGGAGUAGCCCAUGUGCUAGACUUCGAUGUUGUUCAAUAUGCCCAAAGGACCUCGGGUAGAACUUCUCUCCAUUUCCCCUUUGCAUUGUCCAACCUUUUCUUCAAGUUUUGAAUGAUAGUUUUGGUUGUUGUUUCAGCCUGUCCAUUUCUAGUUGGGUGAUACGGUAUUGAUAAGAUACUCUUUAUUUUAUGUGCUUUGAGGAACUUCGUCACCUUGCUGUCGAUGAAUUAUUUUCCAUUGUCACAUACAAUCUCGGCACGCAUCCCAAACCGACAUAUGAUGUUAUCCUAGAUGAAGUCAAUAACUUCCUUUUUUCUGACCUUCUCGAAGGCCUAUGCUUCCACCCAUUUAGAAAAGUAAUCAGUCAUAAAUAAAAUAAAUUUAGCUUUACCUGGGGCCAUUGAUAGGGGGCCGACUAUGUCCAUCCCCCAUUUCAUGAAAGGCCACGGGGAUAGGACCGAGUGGAGCUGUUCUCCAGGCUGAUGGAUCAUCGGUGCAAACCUUGGCAUUUAUCACAUUUUUUGACAAACUCAUUAGUAUCUUUUUCCAUGAUGUCCCAGUAAUACCCUGCUCUGAUAAUUUUGCGAAACAAAGACUUGGCGCCGGAGUGGUUGUCGCGCCCCCUUUUUCUCGCGAAAUCGGGUUUAUGACAUUUGCGAGGACAACUCAUUCCUUUUGGGAAUUGUGUUUGACUUGAAGAGUCGCCACCUAUGAUUAAGGUGCAUUAGGACACCAAGAGGGAUUGAUUUGAGUAACCAGAGAUUGUGUAAGGGCUUGAAAUUAUCCCAAGGGGAAGGUAUUAGGCACCCCUCAGGAUCCACUAGUGUGGUUCCCGACCAGACUAUUAUUGUGAAUUUAAGUGCAAAUAACAUGUAGGCAAAUGAAACUUCAAAUAAGAGGGGAUUUUCAUGUAAUGACUUAUAAAUAAACAAAGUUGGAAAGAACAAAAAGAAAGCUGAUUUUUCUUAAAAGAAAUAGUUUGAUAUGUUUAGAUGAAACAAAGAAACAAAGGGAAAGGGGGGGUCCUAGGUUUAUUCAUAAUAUGGAUCACCCCACACAAUGCCCGGUAAUCACUCCUCAAUGAGGGGCUACACGUGACAUUAUCGUGUGGUCAUCAUAUCCAUAUCUACCCUUCCCACCCCGUUAAGGUAUUAAAGCACGGAAUGGUCUCAAUUACUUAUUGCAUGUUAUUACCCGUCCCAAUCCUAUCUGUCCCGGAGGCAUUUAGGACUACUAAUCCUAAAAGGGAGGGAUAUUAGGCUUAUUUGUAGUUUCAACGGCAAAAAUUCUAAGGUGACAUACAAAACACGUAUUGCAAGUUGAGGAAAGCACAUAAUAAGCAGAGGCUCAGAUAUACCUCCUUACACAAAGAAGCAUGUAAUUAGCAUGACUUACAUAUACUGUUUAGGGUCUGAUUAAAUACUAGACAUGAAAGAACUUAAAGGUUGAGGCAGACUGAUUUAUUACAUAGUUCAGAUAAGAAGCCCGAAUCAGGCUUGCCUGCUGGUUAUAGUUAAUAGAACAAAUUCAGUUUAUAACUUUACCCUAAGGUUUGCCUAAGUGUUGGACAAAGAUCCUAUAGGCAUGGUAUCUACUGAAUUCAGAAAGCAAAAUAAACUGAAUAUGUACUGGUUAAAAGGGAUAGUCAGAUUACUAAAAGAAAGGCAAGUUUUAACGAAGGUUAUAAGUUCUGCAACUGAUGGUACCUGUUAUUACUGGUUUUAGCUCUAUACGUGAAUGAAGCGAUUCAGAUUCGAUUAGGAAUUCCUAUAGACAUGCUUUCUAUGCGUAGUUGAUUUUGAAUCUUGUGGACAUGGUAUAAAAAUGCAGGAGACUCGUUUUAAACCUAUGAACAUGAUAUCUAGAUGCUGAAUGAACAUGGUAUCCAAGUGCAAUUGGAUGUUUAAGUCCUAUGGACAUGAUAUCUAGGUGCAAUUGAUCGUGCAGAUUUAGACAAUCAUGUAGGCAUGAUUUCUAUAUGAAUAUAGUAUCCCUAUGAUCAUGAUUUCUAUAUGAAUGUAGGAUAUACAGAAUUCAGAAGGAACUAUAGGCAUGAUAUCUAGGAACUAUAUGCAGAUUUCCAAACAUCUAUAGGCAUGAUUUCUAUAUGCAGAUUCAAAAUUCCUAUAGACAUGGUAUCUACCCUUUUUGCAUACAUAGUUACCUGCCCUUUUUUUACUAACCAUACCCAAGAGUUUAUUACAAAUUAUUACAACCCGGAAUAAAGUAAAAAUACAUCAAAAAAUAUAAAUAAAAGUACAACCAAAGGAGAGCCUAAUUCAGACUUCAUGUCUGAAAUAUGAGGUAAACCAACUCCAUGAGAUCAUGAUCCAAAGCAUUUCUCCCAUUUGAGUGUGUCAAAGUUCCCUAAGAGCCUCAAAGGGACUCCGGACAAUGCUCACACCCAAAUGUAUAAUCAGAUUAGGACAAGUGCAGUGUGAAGGGCCAGCCCCCAAGUGUCCAAGUUCAGAGGGAACUCAAAGGGUCCCAAGACAAGGCUCACAAGAGGGGGGCAGAACUUAAAGACUAAGAAAGUGUGCAAGUGCAGAAUAGAAUGCUAAAGGGGAAAAGGUGAGGGAAACAACUACUAAUAAACACACAUAGGGGGGUUCAGGGGAAUGGGGAGAUUGUAAAGAGCCUAUUGCCUAGGCAAAGGCAGGCUUUAGGCAUGCCCAGCAAUGGAGGAUGGUAGCAUACCCAUAAGCCUGCUAGAACACACACUACUAGAGGCUAGGAUCCCAGGGGAUCAAGUUUAAUUCAUGGACAAUAAUUUGCAUAUUGUCAUGCCUCAAACCAUAGCAUGAACAGAUAAGGGGUAGGGGCUUGGGAUUUAUAACAGACAGGCAGAAAGAAACCAGUAGUGUUGAACCACACAAAAGCAAUAAGCAAACAGGGAUACAGAGCAGUAAAUAAACACAUUGUUGUGGUGCUAAAAAAGCUUAAAUCAAGACAUACCAGUUUCAAAGAAGCAAAUAAAGAAAGGCAGGCAGUAAGUCUUAUGAACAGGCCACAGUACAAGCAACAAGAGAGAAUACUUUUGAGUGUGAGUGUAAGUUCAGAAAGACUACGAGUGAUGGAUAUUUUUGCUAAUGAAAGAGUAGUGAUUUAUAGUGUGAAAAAAUAGGCAGAAAUAAGGUAAGAAAACAAUUAAGGAACUGGAUAUCAAUUAAAAAUCAAUCAAUACAAGACUUCCUUUAAUUAAGGAAUUCAGACUUAAACGGUAAAAGUUAUUUAAGGAAAGAAAUCAAAUAAGCAUCUUGUGCAAAGUAGGCAAUUAGGGGUAAAUACAUAGGGGUUUAAUUAAGGGAAGAAUUUUGAAAUAUACGGUUAAAACAAAUAAGGUAAGGAUCAAUCAGUAUACAGUAAAUCAAGGGGUCAGAGAUUUUUGUAAUCAUUGGUCCAUGAGUGAACCAAGUCAGAAAAGCUAAGGAAAGUUUUUGACUCAAAUUGAGUAACAGGGAAGUCAGCAGACAAGGAAAGAAAUCAAUCAAACUUAUACAAAAGAAGUCUGAAAUCAAUCAAAAUUGAAAGCCAUUUUUAGAGGGAAGUUCAGCACAUAUAAAGAGCACACAAAUAUGCUAGGCUGGAUUUAGGGCAAAGAAAAAAAAAA